AGAGUUUGAUCAUGGCUCAGAUUGAACGCUGGCGGCAUGCCUUACACAUGCAAGUCGAACGGCAGCACGGGAGCAAUCCUGGUGGCGAGUGGCGAACGGGUGAGUAAUACAUCGGAACGUGCCCAAUCGUGGGGGAUAACGCAGCGAAAGCUGUGCUAAUACCGCAUACGAUCUACGGAUGAAAGCAGGGGACCGCAAGGCCUUGCGCGAAUGGAGCGGCCGAUGGCAGAUUAGGUAGUUGGUGAGGUAAAGGCUCACCAAGCCUUCGAUCUGUAGCUGGUCUGAGAGGACGACCAGCCACACUGGGACUGAGACACGGCCCAGACUCCUACGGGAGGCAGCAGUGGGGAAUUUUGGACAAUGGGCGCAAGCCUGAUCCAGCCAUGCCGCGUGCAGGAUGAAGGCCUUCGGGUUGUAAACUGCUUUUGUACGGAACGAAACGGCUCUUUCUAAUAAAGAGGGCUAAUGACGGUACCGUAAGAAUAAGCACCGGCUAACUACGUGCCAGCAGCCGCGGUAAUACGUAGGGUGCAAGCGUUAAUCGGAAUUACUGGGCGUAAAGCGUGCGCAGGCGGUGAUGUAAGACAGUUGUGAAAUCCCCGGGCUCAACCUGGGAACUGCAUCUGUGACUGCAUCGCUGGAGUGCGGCAGAGGGGGAUGGAAUUCCGCGUAGCAGUGAAAUGCGUAGAUAUGCGGAGGAACACCGAUGGCGAAGGCAAUCCCCUGGGCCUGCACUGACGCUCAUGCACGAAAGCGUGGGGAGCAAACAGGAUUAGAUACCCUAGUAGUCC
This 791-nucleotide ribosomal RNA is filed under the name uncultured bacterium. RNAcentral's name for it is "bacterial SSU rRNA". It matches the Rfam family "Bacterial small subunit ribosomal RNA", at positions 8 to 796 of the family's 1533-position model. The record is from RNAcentral.